This 492-nucleotide ribosomal RNA is filed under the name uncultured bacterium. RNAcentral's name for it is "partial 16S ribosomal RNA". It matches the Rfam family "Bacterial small subunit ribosomal RNA", at positions 29 to 507 of the family's 1533-position model. The record is from RNAcentral.
AGUGAACGCUGGCGGUAGGCCUAACACAUGCAAGUCGAACGGCAGCACAGUAAGAGCUUGCUCUUACGGGUGGCGAGUGGCGGACGGGUGGGGAAUACAUCGGAAUCUACUUUUUCGUGGGGGAUAACGUAGGGAAACUUACGCUAAUACCGCAUACGACCUACGGGUGAAAGCAGGGGAUCUUCGGACCUUGCGCGAUUGAAUGAGCCGAUGUCGGAUUAGCUAGUUGGCGGGGUAAAGGCCCACCAAGGCGACGAUCCGUAGCUGGUCUGAGAGGAUGAUCAGCCACACUGGAACUGAGACACGGUCCAGACUCCUACGGGAGGCAGCAGUGGGGAAUAUUGGACAAUGGGCGCAAGCCUGAUCCAGCCAUACCGCGUGGGUGAAGAAGGCCUUCGGGUUGUAAAGCCCUUUUGUUGGGAAAGAAAAGCAGCAGGUUAAUACCCCGCUGUUCUGACGGUACCCAAAGAAUAAGCGCCGGCUAACUUCGUG